UCUCUGUCCCAAAAAUAAAUAAACGUUGAAAAAAAAAAUUUAAAACUAUAGCCUGUAAAUUUAAAAAUAAUCUAGGACUCUCAUUACAUUUACUUUGAUGUUAUAAUCCAAGUAAUGCAAACACACACACACACACACACACACACACACACACACCGGGCAAGUUAUCACAAAUGAAGUUUUAUUCUUCAUCAGAGAGGAUUAGAUAUAAUCUUGCUCUAGAAUGGGAACAUUAAUGACAUGUCUUGAAGUCUAGCUGUUGAAAAUCAUAAACUAAGGAUAUGCAUUAUUGGCCCUCUGCGGGUUAGCCCAACAACCCAUAACAAAUUAAACUGAUUAUGAAGUUAACCAAUAGUAAUUUAUCUUUAAAAGGCACAGAUGGUAGCAACUGAAAACCAUGAAAAGCUCAUCAUGGAUAAUAAAUUAUUCUUCUUGAAGAUUUUGGGAUUUCCUACUACCAGCAAUCGUCUUGGCCGGUAGGAUACUGAUAGUUGGUGGCAUAUCUCGUGACCAAGUUAAGGUCUGUUACUCAAAUUCUGAAUCUGCAACAUUAGAAUGGAUGUGCAGUCCACAAAGUCACUGGCAAACUUUCCGAAUCAUCUUUUCUUCCUCCGUGCAUUGGGGAAAUGGGGAAGUGAAGCAUUCACUUUAAUCAAAAGAUCUUUUAAGAAGUCACUAUCAAACAAAUUGCUACUCCUUUACCUGACCACAUUCCAACACAGAACACCUAACCAGAUGGCUGUUGCAGAGAUUCACAAUUUACACUGCCCUUAGAACCUUGUUUGCAAGAUCUGUGCUUGAGGUUGGGAAGUUCACAGAGACUGAGGAGGUGGAGUUUAUUCUCACUGUGUGGUUGUCCAAAACAAAGUCAAAUUAGACCAUCUGUUUGUUCAAACACGAAGCUGAUAAACCUUAGCUUCCAGGAGCAGAAGACAGGCUUAAGCCGUAAACUGAGAGUAUCGGUAUGCAACACUCCAGCCAUUGUUCUCUUUUCCAUUUCUCCUUCCCCAAGGGAUGUGCCAAGUCCAAUAAUAAGUAAAACUUACCAAUAAUUUUUAAAAAUUUAACAAAAACUUGUUUCAUGCUUUUAUUUACUCUUCUUGUGACAGCUUUUUCUAACAAGCAAACUAAUCUAGGAA
Long non-coding RNA from Felis catus (domestic cat), 1139 nucleotides. RefSeq lists it as uncharacterized. The record is from RefSeq and is a predicted model, not a curated record. The transcript has 3 exons. Lineage: Eukaryota; Metazoa; Chordata; Mammalia; Carnivora; Felidae.